CUCCAUAACAAAAAGAAGAUCAGGGGAAUGGGAUGCACACAUCCCUCUCAGGUGCCGAAUUGUCAGGGAAUUCCCCAACCCCUGACAAUUCCAGCUAAGAAGCUUCAUGGUCCACUUUGGGGCCAUUUCCGGCUGGCCACCCCCACCUCAGAAUUGUCACUGGAGUACUGAUAGAAUUUUUUUCCUUGAGAGUUGUCAUCUGGAAGAGCUUGGAACUGUCUUUUACGAAGGCUAUUUGAAACACUCAAGCCCUUCGUUGUAUCUGUUUCUGGAUCAACUAAUUCCUGAAUGAUGACAUGAUGCUGCAAAGGAGCUAAGGAUCGAGC
This 326-nucleotide long non-coding RNA is filed under the name Manihot esculenta (cassava). Its description in RNAcentral is "long non-coding RNA (MESC_LNC013039)". Lineage: Eukaryota; Viridiplantae; Streptophyta; Magnoliopsida; Malpighiales; Euphorbiaceae. The record is from RNAcentral.